RNAcentral lists this ribosomal RNA (468 nucleotides) under uncultured bacterium. Its description in RNAcentral is "partial 16S ribosomal RNA". It matches the Rfam family "Bacterial small subunit ribosomal RNA", at positions 28 to 507 of the family's 1533-position model. The record is from RNAcentral.
GACGAACGCUGGCGGCGUGCUUAACACAUGCAAGUCGAACGGAAAGGCCCUGCUUUUGUGGGGUGCUCGAGUGGCGAACGGGUGAGUAACACGUGAGUAACCUGCCCUUGACUUUGGGAUAACUUCAGGAAACUGGGGCUAAUACCGGAUAGGAGCUCCUGCUGCAUGGUGGGGGUUGGAAAGUUUCGGCGGUUGGGGAUGGACUCGCGGCUUAUCAGCUUGUUGGUGGGGUAGUGGCUUACCAAGGCUUUGACGGGUAGCCGGCCUGAGAGGGUGACCGGCCACAUUGGGACUGAGAUGCCGCCCAGACUCCUACGGGAGGCAGCAGUGGGGAAUAUUGCACAAUGGGCGGAAGCCUGAUGCAGCAACGCCGCGUGCUGGAUGACGGCCGUCGGGUUGUAAACCGCUUUCGCCUGUGACGAAGCGUGAGUGACGGUAAUGGGUAAAGAAGCACCGGCUAACUACGUG